AAACACAUUUCAUUACACCAAAAACUCAAAAUAAUGACCUUUUUAGAAACAUCAUAUGACCCCUUUAAGAGAUUUUUCUUUAUCUCAAGGUUAAAUAUCUUUGAAUUUGUUUUGAGUUGUGAAUUCAAAUUAAAUAAAAAUGGUAAUACUUGCAAUUACUCCCAAAACUUUGUUACAGAAGUCAGCAGCACUGUUUUUUCAAGGAAACACAAUUCUUAUUUUUGUGUUUCGUUUAUGACAGCUGAAUUCAGACAGUUCCACUUAUCGGAGUAAGUUUAAUCUAGUCUGUAUUCACAAAGUAUUGCUUUUAUUAAAUGUGAAUGAUGGUCUAUUAUUGAUAUGAUGUUGUUGUGUUUUUCUCUUUGUUAUCUUCAAACUUGCAGCGUUAUGGAUUUGCAGUCUAUGGAGAGUGUUGUUGGGUCUCUAAAUGAUGGAAUUGUCUCUAUCUGUAACAUCUUCAAGUCUCUCUUGGAUGCACAAGUUGAUCCCACCACUGGCAUGUGCAGUAAUUAUGAACAAAUCAGGAAGCAUAUUAUCCAAGCUGACCAUUUCCUGGAAAAAUCAGAGACAAUGAUUAAGGAAAAACUAAAAAAUUUAGAUGAAUGCAUGGAGCGACUUAUUCAAGAAAAAGGAAAUGCUGAGCAGCAGAACAAAGAAAAACGCAAUGCAAUGGAUAAAUUACACAUCGAGAAGAACUCUGCUGAAGAAUCAUUAAAGAAUUCUAAAGCAGCUUUGGAACAGGCUGAAAAAAUGAUAGCAUUGACAAAAGAUGAACUACAAAGACAGCAAGCUAGACAUAACACUGGCACAGGUGUAACAAUUGGAGGGGCGGUAGUGGCUGCAAUACCAAUUAUCGGAUGGAUUCCUGGUAUAAUAAUGAUGUCUGUGGGAGCUAGUGAAAUUGUUAAGGCUUCAA
This is a long non-coding RNA of Cyprinus carpio (common carp), 916 nucleotides long. The record is from Ensembl. NCBI's taxonomy places the organism in Eukaryota, Metazoa, Chordata, Actinopteri, Cypriniformes, Cyprinidae.